RNAcentral lists this ribosomal RNA (430 nucleotides) under uncultured bacterium. RNAcentral's name for it is "bacterial SSU rRNA". It matches the Rfam family "Bacterial small subunit ribosomal RNA", at positions 355 to 777 of the family's 1533-position model. The record is from RNAcentral.
UAGGGAAUCUUCGGCAAUGGACGAAAGUCUGACCGAGCAACGCCGCGUGAGUGAAGAAGGUUUUCGGAUCGUAAAACUCUGUUGUUAGAGAAGAACAAGUGGGAGAGUGACUGUUCCCACCUUGACGGUAUCUAACCAGAAAGCCACGGCUAACUACGUGCCAGCAGCCGCGGUAAUACGUAGGUGGCAAGCGUUGUCCGGAUUUAUUGGGCGUAAAGCGAGCGCAGGCGGUUUCUUAAGUCUGAUGUGAAAGCCCUCGGCUCAACCGAGGAAGGUCAUUGGAAACUGGGAAACUUGAAUGCAGAAGAGGAGAGUGGAAUUCCAUGUGUAGCGGUGAAAUGCGUGGAUAUAUGGAGGAACACCAGUGGCGAAGGCGACUCUCUGGUCUGUAAUUGACGCUGAGGCUCGAAAGCGUGGGGAGCAAACAGGA